CGUGGGUAACCUGCCCAAGAGAUCGGGAUAACACCUGGAAACAGAUGCUAAUACCGGAUAAUAACAGAUGAUGCCUAUCAACUGUUUAAAAGAUGGUUCUGCUAUCACUCUUGGAUGGACCUGCGGUGCAUUAGCCAGUUGGUAGGGUAACGGCCUACCAAGGCGAUGAUGCAUAGCCGAGUUGAGAGACUGAUCGGCCACAUUGGGACUGAGACACGGCCCAAACUCCUACGGGAGGCAGCAGUC
Molecule: ribosomal RNA, 246 nt
Filed under: uncultured Lactobacillus sp.
Lineage: Bacteria; Bacillati; Bacillota; Bacilli; Lactobacillales; Lactobacillaceae
Description: partial 16S ribosomal RNA
Rfam family: Bacterial small subunit ribosomal RNA
Source: RNAcentral